Molecule: ribosomal RNA, 468 nt
Filed under: uncultured bacterium
Lineage: Bacteria
Description: bacterial SSU rRNA
Rfam family: Bacterial small subunit ribosomal RNA
Source: RNAcentral
ACAGUACAACUCCUACGGGAGGCAGCAGUGGAUAUGAUAUGCAUGAGGGGACUACCUGAACCAGCCAUCCCGCGUGUAGGAAGACGGCCUUAUGGGUUGUAAACUACUUUUAUACAGGAAGAAACGUACCCUCGUGAGGGUGCCUGACGGUACUGUAGGAAUAAGCACCGGCUAACUCCGUGCCAGCAGCCGCGGUAAUACGGAGGGUGCGAGCGUUAUCCGGAUUUAUUGGGUUUAAAGGGUCCGUAGGCGGAUUAAUAAGUCAGUGGUGAAAUCCCAUCGCUUAACGAUGGAACUGCCAUUGAUACUGUUAGUCUUGAAUGAGGGUGCAGUGGUUGGAAUGUGUAGUGUAGCGGUGAAAUGCAUAGAUAUUACACAGAACACCGAUUGCGAAGGCAGAUCACUAACCCUAAAUUGACGCUGAGGGACGAAAGCGUGGGGAGCGAACAGGAUUAGAUACCAUGGUAG